Molecule: non-coding RNA, 3909 nt
Organism: Phalacrocorax carbo (great cormorant)
Lineage: Eukaryota; Metazoa; Chordata; Aves; Suliformes; Phalacrocoracidae
Source: RefSeq, a predicted model, not a curated record
GCAGCGGCGGAGCCGGAGCGGAGCCGGUGCAGAAGUAGGACGGCGAGGAGAAGGAGGAGGAGUAGGAAAAGGAGGAGGAGGAGAGGAGGUGGCCGGCUCUGCCUCGCCCGGCGGGGAGCCCAGCCCCUGGCCCCAGGGGGGAGCCGGGCAGGGCGGGGGCUGCUGCCGCUUCCUCCGCUCCGCCGCCUGCCCCGCGGCGGGGCCUGGCCCUGAGCGCGGAGGCCGCGGCCGGCCUCCGAGCUGGUGGGGACCUGGGGAGCCCUCACCUGGGGCUACACGUGGCCAGGAGGACAAUGAAAACCCUGUUUGCACCACAAACAAGGUGAGGCAGCCAGAGCCCGAUCUUUGCCUCUGUGUGCCGCUGUCCUGCUGGCAUGCUGGCUGCUCCUGUGGUUUCUCCUACGGAGGUGUUCACCAGCAAAAGAUGACUACCUACCUCUGCGCUGCCCAGCAGUCUGUGGAGCAGGGUUGCAUUUCCACGCAGCACUGUGCCUCCCCACCCACAGAGGAGCUUCCUUGAGACCCAGGUUCCCUGUGGGUUCUCCUCUGCAAGGGGCUGCAAGGUUAUGCUUGUGCUUAAGGCUGGACUAGAUUCUGCCAAUCCUGGAGGAUGAUGCUCCUGGCAAGACCAGCCUUCAGACAUGCCAGGCCCUGGAGGGCUGGAGGAAAGGCUGGGGCAAAGAAGAGGUACCCUUAGUGCAAGAGGCUCUCGCAGGAUACGGUGGAAGAAAAGGAGAUGAGAGAACACUUAAGCAAAGUGGAGAUGCGCAAGUCCCUGCUGGGAUGCACCCUCAAGUGCUGAGGGAGCAGGCAGGUGGGCUUGUGAGGCCACUGCAAAAGGGAGAUGUGCCUGAGGACUGGAAGACAGCAACCAUGAUGUGGACUGAUGUGCAGUGCAGUGGAUGGAAAUGUGGCUGAGUGGCUGGGCCCAGAGGGUGCUGACCAGUGGCACCAAGUGGAGUGGGAGGCAAGGAACCAGCAGUAAAGCCUAAGGCAAGGGGCACUGCCAGCAGGUGGAGGGAGGUGGUCCUUCCCCUCUGACCUGCUCUGGCCUCCCCAGUGCAGGAGAGACAUGGGCAUACUGGAGAGAACCCCCAGGCCAGGGCCCCCUCCAUGGCUCCCUCUCCCCCUCAAGUUUCCAUUGGGGUUGGAAACCAGAGACAGCAGAAUGGAGCUGUGCUGGCCUGGAGCAGCGCUGGGAGGAAGCAGGGUCUGGCCAAGCAGCACUGCCAUGGCACUAGCACCUGCAGCAGCACCAGCACCCCACUUCCGAUCAUUGCUGUUGCCGUUUGGGCCGCGUCCUUGGUGCAUGGCGAGGGCCCUCCUGUCCCGGGCGGGAUGGGCCAGGCCAACUGUUUCUGCGGCUCCAGGUGGGCUCUCCCUGUGGCUCAGUGACACACGGGCACAGGUGGGCCCUGCAGCAGCAGCCUUCCUUAUGCCUGCCACUCUCUGCUCUGCAGGGAGGCUCUCAGCGAUGCUGAGGCAGUGCUGAGCGCAGACGUGCAGCUGACCCGGGGCCGCAAGAGGAGCGAGAGGCGCCUUCUCCUCCUCCAGGAGGAAGUGGUGGCGCCAAGUUGCAGCAUGGCACCACCGUGCACCCACAGUUCUGCCUGGCCCUGGACCAGCUGUGGGUGCUGAGCAGCAGGAAGGAGGCAGCAGGGAAGAAAGAAGAAGAGGCAGAAGGCAGCAAUGAGGACAGGACCUCCCUUGUGUUCAUCUGACCCACCGGCUCCUGCAUUGCCGAUUUUGGGGUGGCUGACAAGUUGCCUGCAGCCAACCUCCUCCUCCUGAAGUGGCUGCUGUCCCUCCUGCAGCACAUUGGCCACAGUGUAGUCACCAGGAGGAUAAGCUGCGGCAACCUGGCCAUCUGCGUUGGGCCUAACCUGCUGAGCCCACCCAACGAGGAACUGCUCAUGCUGGAGGCCAUGCUGGAGGUCACUGAGAAGGUGUAUCGAGCAGCUGGCGGCAGCCUUCCCAGCCCAUCAGAGCUUGGCUGCUCCAAGGUCUCGGGAUGCCUCCUCCCUUGAGCAAAUGCUGCUGGUCCGUUCCUGGCUGCUGCCUUGAGAGCAAGGGCUUGAUGUGUGCAGUGAAGGUGCUGGUGGAGUUUCUGGUGGAGAGCUGCAGGGAACUCUUUGGGGGGAAGAUGAGUGACUGUUCUGUCUACGAGCCGAAGGGUUUCCAGCCCCCGUGGAGAGAUCCAGAGAUAAGAGGAGGGACUGAGGGUUAUCACAGGCUGGGCUAGGGAUGCCAGAAGCCUCAGCAUCAUUUCUGGCGGGGCUGGGCAUUGAGUGUUGUCCUCUCAGCGCUGUUUGUCCCGUGGCCUCUGUUUGGCCACUGCCUCUUGGGGCAUGAGCCCUUUGCUUGGCAAGAUGAGCUGAAGCCUGCAGAGAGGGCAUCAGAGGGCUGAAAAGAGAAGUGAUGUAGGUCUUCAGGUGGGUUUUGCUUGAGGUGAUUUUUACUUCCAAGAAGCUGCUUUGCUGCACAUGGUUUUUCUUUCUAGAUGUGUUUGGAAUAGCCAAGUAUUCCUGCAGCCGAAGCAGACACUGAGCAUCAGGCAGAAGCCUUGCUGCACACACCCACACCCACACACACACCCCUUCGUUUGCCCUCGCAGCUGGAGGAGAUAUGGUGCUGGAGGCUGAAAUGGGAGAGGUGUGCCAGGUCCCAAACUCUGGCAGCGUGUCUGGUGUAGGAGGGGAGUUUGUGACAAGGCCAAGUGGCUGCUGUGCCUAUGCCUGUGCCUGCAGUGGAGCUGCUGUGUGCCUGUGGUAUUCCUCUGGCCGGCCGGGACGAUACACAGGAAGGAAAACUGGCAAGACUGUUUCUUAAAUGCACUAGGCAUGUGCUUAUUCAAACACAGUGGCCACAAAAAAGCUACAAAAAAGACAGAGGGGAGUAGCUGGCAACUGCCGAAGGGUUUUGCUCAGGUCCUACUUUGUCAGAACUUCAUCAAGUCUAUUUGGGGUGAACCUCCUCUGGAGAGGAGGGAGCUCCUCUGGAGAGCUAAGGUAGCAAUUUGGCAAGUGGUCACUUAUCGCUUCAGGUCAUCUCUUGCCACCUGCCAACUCCAAUAUUUCCAAUGAAGGCACCUCCAGCUUUGACUCCCUCCACCCUUGAGAGCACGGCAGGCUCAUUGGGGUGCCCAGGAGAACUGGCAAGCCUUUUGGAAGAGAGAAGGUAAAAUGGGCUUGCUGUGGUUAAAAUGAGUACUGACUCCAGUGUAUCAUGGCUUUCCCUAAUGAAUAGCACUGUAGGAUGGAAAGGUUUGCAGGAUCUCCCCGGGACAAGGGAAACAGAAGAAACUGAAAGAGAAAAGAUGCCUGGGGAGAGGAGAGUGAAAGCCAUGCAGAAAAGAAGAGGAGGAAGAGAGAAAAAGUUCUGGGCAACAGAGCAGUGAAAAGAUGCAGGAGGGUGCAGCAGGUCCAGAAUCCCAGGUGUGUAGCAGGCCCUGCUGCCCAUUUUUCCCAACUCUCCACACUGCUCUAAGUCAGUGCAACUUGCUGGCAAAGGGCGGUGAGGGAUGGUGCUGCACAGGGUUUGGAAAGGCCUCCAUGGCAGCUCCCCAGGGGCUCCCAAUGGAGCCCUGCUGCGUGGCACAGGGGCACUGUGCAUCUUGGCACACGCACAGAUCUCUAAGGGCAUCACCCAUAAGGAUAAGGAUAAGGCAACAGAGCCAUUGUGUAGGCAAUACCAGCACUAGCUUUCUCUUCUGGGCUAGGAAGAAUUUCUGGCAAAUGGUGUUCCCCAAAAUUGAGGAUAACAAAAUUCUGCCUCUUCCUGCCUUGGUGGAUUCCUCAGAGCUUUCUGACUCUGUCGUUGUAGGUGCCUACUCAUUUUCCCCAGCUGACCUGCUGUGCCUCGUGGGGCCCUGCACCUGGUGUCCCCAAUAAAAUUAUCUUUUCUCUCUUC